RNAcentral lists this ribosomal RNA (468 nucleotides) under uncultured bacterium. RNAcentral's name for it is "partial 16S ribosomal RNA". It matches the Rfam family "Bacterial small subunit ribosomal RNA", at positions 28 to 507 of the family's 1533-position model. The record is from RNAcentral.
GACGAACGCUGGCGGCGUGCUUAACACAUGCAAGUCGAACGGAAAGGCCCUGCUUUUGUGGGGUGCUCGAGUGGCGAACGGGUGAGUAACACGUGAGUAACCUGCCCUUGACUUUGGGAUAACUUCAGGAAACUGGGGCUAAUACCGGAUAGGAGCUCCUGCUGCAUGGUGGGGGUUGGAAAGUUUCGGCGGUUGGUGAUGGACUCGCGGCUUAUCAGCUUGUUGGUGGGGUAGUGGCUUACCAAGGCUUUGACGGGUAGCCGGCCUGAGAGGGUGACCGGCCACAAUGGGACUGAGAAAGGGCCCAGACUCCUACGGAAGGCAGAAGUGAGGAAUAUUGCACAAUAGGCGGAAGCCUGAUGCAGCAACGCCGCGUGCGGGAUGAAGGCCUUAGGGCUGUAAACCGCUUUCGCCUGUGACGAAGCGUGAGUGACGGUAAUGGGUAAAGAAGAACCGGCUAACUACGUG